Ochotona princeps (American pika) is the source of this 286-nucleotide long non-coding RNA. RefSeq lists it as uncharacterized. The record is from RefSeq and is a predicted model, not a curated record. Lineage: Eukaryota; Metazoa; Chordata; Mammalia; Lagomorpha; Ochotonidae. The transcript is spliced from 3 exons.
UGCAGAAAGAGAGAGAGCAGUGCAUAUUGACAGAAGGAGAAGAAUUCAUCUAACCAAAGGACUGACAACCUCAUCGGAUGAACAAGUGCCUGCCUUGGAGAUUUGUAGCUGGAAAUCCUUCAAAGGUGACAACACAGUGAUGAGUUAAUAAGACCCAGGGCGUGAUGAAUGAAGCUGCUGGUUCCUCCCAAGAAUUUGGGUCUCUCUCGUUCCCAUUUGAAUGCUUGUGGCUGACAGUAACCAUGUGAGCAAAAAUAGUCCAAGGGCAAAACAAGCUCAGAGGCUG